UCGGAAGGGCGGAGAAUCGCUCCGGGCGCAAGUCCGGGGAGGAAAGUCCGAACACCGCAGGGCGCGAUGCCGCGUAACCCGGUCUUCAGGCCGGGAUACACGCGGGAGAGAUCGGCGAAAGCCAUCUCGACGGACAGUGCCACAGAAAACAAACCGCCUGUUUGAGCAAUCAAACGGGUAAGGGUGAAAAGGCGGGGUAAGAGCCCACCGCUCCAAGCGUAAGCGCGGAGGCACGGAAAACCCCAUCGGGUGCAAGGCCAAAUAGGGGACCGAGGAGCGGCCCGCUCCGUGGCGAAAGCCAGGUUCCGGGUAUUGGCCGCUAAGACAAAUGAUUCUCUCCGUUCGCAAGAACGCAGACAAAA
Molecule: RNase P RNA, 362 nt
Filed under: Verrucomicrobiales bacterium
Lineage: Bacteria; Pseudomonadati; Verrucomicrobiota; Verrucomicrobiia; Verrucomicrobiales
Description: partial RNase P RNA component class A
Rfam family: Bacterial RNase P class A
About the family: Ribonuclease P (RNase P) is a ubiquitous endoribonuclease, found in archaea, bacteria and eukarya as well as chloroplasts and mitochondria. Its best characterised activity is the generation of mature 5'-ends of tRNAs by cleaving the 5'-leader elements of precursor-tRNAs.
Source: RNAcentral